ACCGUCGACAGUCAGGCAACGAGCGAGACCCACGCCAACAGUUGCCAGCUCGUCCUCCGGGAUGGUGGGGACACUGUUGGGACCGCCUCUGCUAAAGAGGAGGAAGGAAUGGGCAACGGUAGGUCAGCAUGCCCCGAAUUAUCUGGGCUACACGCGGGCUACAAUGGGUGGGACAAUGGGUAUUGACACCGAAAGGUGAAGGCAAUCUCCUAAACCCAUCCUUAGUUCGGAUUGUGGGUUGCAACUCACCCACAUGAAGCUGGAAUCCGUAGUAAUCGUGUCUCAAAAUGGCACGGUGAAUAUGUCCCUGCUCCUUGCACGAAUUCGCCG
RNAcentral lists this ribosomal RNA (330 nucleotides) under uncultured Methanomicrobiales archaeon. Its description in RNAcentral is "bacterial SSU rRNA". It matches the Rfam family "Archaeal small subunit ribosomal RNA", at positions 1023 to 1352 of the family's 1478-position model. Lineage: Archaea; Methanobacteriati; Methanobacteriota; Methanomicrobia; Methanomicrobiales. The record is from RNAcentral.